Molecule: long non-coding RNA, 324 nt
Filed under: Androctonus crassicauda
Lineage: Eukaryota; Metazoa; Arthropoda; Arachnida; Scorpiones; Buthidae
Source: RNAcentral
UAGCAAAGAGGCAGAGAAAUCAAAUCCAAACGACGACCAUAAUGUCCCUGGCCACGGACCCGCAGAACGCUGCCCAGGAGCAGACGUAUACUGUAGUAGGUCAUGAAUUAGCCAGUUACAAAACAGUUAAGCAUAUUUUAAAGAAAGGUAAAAGAAGGCCAUCAUAUAAGAGGCCCCCAACUAUCUUUGAUCACUUAAGAAACGUGAAAGACCGAUAUGGAAAAGAACAAGGAAUAGGGGUCUACGGUAUCCCAGUGGAGAACAAAGAAGAUCAAAGGAAUGAGAUAUAUAUAGGAGCCACAGCCAGAAACCUUAAGACUAGAC